UACGGAAGGCAGCAGUGGGGAAUAUUGCACAAUGGGCGCAAGCCUGAUGCAGCCAUGCCGCGUGUAUGAAAAAGGCCUUCGGGUUGUAAAGUACUUUCAGUCGUGAGGAAGGUGUUAAGGUUAAUAACCUUAGCAAUUGACGUUAGCGACAGAAGAAGCACCGGCUAACUCCGUGCCAGCAGCCGCGGUAAUACGGAGGGUGCGAGCGUUAAUCGGAAUUACUGGGCGUAAAGGGCACGCAGGCGGUUAAUUAAGUUGGAUGUGAAAUCCCCGGGCUUAACCUGGGAAUGGCAUUCAAGACUGGUUAGCUAGAGUCUUGUAGAGGGGGUUAGAAUUCCAUGUGUAGCGGUGAAAUGCGUAGAGAUGUGGAGGAAUACCGGUGGCGAAGGCGGCCCCUGGACAAAGACUGACGCUCAUGUGCGAAAGCUGGGGAGCAAACCAGGGAUUAGAUAC
RNAcentral lists this ribosomal RNA (453 nucleotides) under uncultured bacterium. RNAcentral's name for it is "bacterial SSU rRNA". It matches the Rfam family "Bacterial small subunit ribosomal RNA", at positions 340 to 785 of the family's 1533-position model. The record is from RNAcentral.